Molecule: ribosomal RNA, 402 nt
Filed under: uncultured prokaryote
Description: bacterial SSU rRNA
Rfam family: Bacterial small subunit ribosomal RNA
Source: RNAcentral
UGGGGAAUAUUGCACAAUGGGGGAAACCCUGAUGCAGCGACGCCGCGUGAGUGAAGAAGUAUUUCGGUAUGUAAAGCUCUAUCAGCAGGGAAGAAAAUGACGGUACCUGACUAAGAAGCCCCGGCUAACUACGUGCCAGCAGCCGCGGUAAUACGUAGGGGGCAAGCGUUAUCCGGAUUUACUGGGUGUAAAGGGAGCGUAGCCGGCUUUGCAAGUCUGACGUGAAACUCCGGGGCUCAACUCCGGAACUGCGUUGGAAACUGUAAGGCUUGAGUGGCGGAGAGGUAAGCGGAAUUCCUAGUGUAGCGGUGAAAUGCGUAGAUAUUAGGAGGAACACCAGUGGCGAAGGCGGCUUACUGGACGGCAACUGACGUUGAGGCUCGAAAGCGUGGGGAGCAAACA